GUGAGGAAUUUUGCGCAAUGGGGGCAACCCUGACGCAGCGACGCCGCGUGGAGGACGAAGUCUUUCGGGAUGUAAACUCCUGUCAGUGGGGACGAUAAUGACGGUACCCACAGAGGAAGCACCGGCUAACUCCGUGCCAGCAGCCGCGGUAAGACGGAGGGUGCAAGCGUUGUUCGGAAUUACUGGGCGUAAAGCGUAUGUAGGCGGCAAGUUAAGUUCAAUGUUAAAGCCCACGGCUCAACCGAGGAGAUGCAUUGAAUACUGGCUAGCUAGAGGGUGUUAGAGGAAGACGGAAUUCCCAGUGUAGCGGUGAAAUGCGUAGAUAUUGGGAGGAACAUCGGUAGCGAAAGCGGUCUUCUGGGACAUACCUGACGCUGAGGUACGAAAGCGUGGGGGGCAAACGGGAUUAGAUACCCUGGUAGUCC
RNAcentral lists this ribosomal RNA (425 nucleotides) under uncultured bacterium. Its description in RNAcentral is "partial 16S ribosomal RNA". It matches the Rfam family "Bacterial small subunit ribosomal RNA", at positions 354 to 796 of the family's 1533-position model. The record is from RNAcentral.